Molecule: ribosomal RNA, 633 nt
Filed under: uncultured Dechloromonas sp.
Lineage: Bacteria; Pseudomonadati; Pseudomonadota; Betaproteobacteria; Rhodocyclales; Azonexaceae
Description: bacterial SSU rRNA
Rfam family: Bacterial small subunit ribosomal RNA
Source: RNAcentral
UACAGUUUGAUCAUGGCUCAGAUUGAACGCUGGCGGCAUGCCUUACACAUGCAAGUCGAACGGCAGCGGACCUUCGGGUNNNGGCGAGUGGCGAACGGGUGAGUAAAGUAUCGGAACGUACCUUUCAGUGGGGGAUAACGUAGCGAAAGUUACGCUAAUACCGCAUAUUCUGUGAGCAGGAAAGCAGGGGAUCGCAAGACCUUGCGCUGAUUGAGCGGCCGAUAUCAGAUUAGCUAGUUGGUGGGGUAAAGGCCUACCAAGGCGACGAUCUGUAGCGGGUCUGAGAGGAUGAUCCGCCACACUGGGACUGAGACACGGCCCAGACUCCUACGGGAGGCAGCAGUGGGGAAUUUUGGACAAUGGGCGCAAGCCUGAUCCAGCCAUGCCGCGUGAGUGAAGAAGGCCUUCGGGUUGUAAAGCUCUUUCGGCCGGGAAGAAAUCGCAUGGGCUAAUACCCUGUGUGGAUGACGGUACCGGAAUAAGAAGCACCGGCUAACUACGUGCCAGCAGCCGCGGUAAUACGUAGGGUGCGAGCGUUAAUCGGAAUUACUGGGCGUAAAGCGUGCGCAGGCGGUUUUUUAAGAUAGGCGUGAAAUCCCCGGGCUCAACCUGGGAACUGCGCUUAUGACUGGA